GGCGGGAGGGGUGGUCAGGUGGUGGGAGGCAGGAGGGGCAGGAGCAGCCCAGACAGCACAGAGGCGCCCUGAUGGGAAUCACAGAAAUCACAGACCAAGGAGGGAGCCGGGAUGACGCCUGACUGAACUGUCUGGAUUUUAACCAGGUGACGAAGAAAAGCCCUGACUAUCUCAGAGGGAAGGGCGACCUUACAAAGCAGUGCUCCAGGGAACACUAAAGUUAGGCCAUCAUCCACCCGGGACAGGGAAGGCCAGCCUGCAGCCCUGGGGUGCUGUGAGGUGCCGGCUGGAGGAAGCCAGGCCUGGUCGGGGAUGGGGGGACGUCCCGACACCUGUGCGGCCGUCAGGAAUUCUGAAGGGCAGGUGUGAGCAGAGGACGCCAUCCACCAGCAAUGACGCUGUGCUCCAGCAUGAGCACGGGCCAAGAUACUGAUCACACAAAGCACCCCAGGCACCACCUGAGCCUUGGUGAAGUGUGCACUUCUGACAGGCGCUGGGGACAGAAGCCUCGCCCGCUUAGCCUUCUGCAUGGACCAGGCCCAGCGGACGAUGCCAGGAGGUGCAGAGGGACCUGCACAGAACGGACGCCACCUGAGCUCCUCGACUCGACACAGCUCACAGCUCCACAGGAGCACGGCACUGGGGUGAGCACCCUCCAGCAUCUCCGCGAAGGACACAGCACGGCACCCAGGGACAGCUGGCCCCGUAGCGCCGCUAGAUUCUGUUCCCAGUGGGCACGAGGCUGUGACCGCAGAGACCACCUCCUCCACCCCCCACCCCGAGGCCCAACUGAAGCUUCAGUUUCCAAGCAGGACUGCUCCCUGGCCCUCCAGUCCAAAUCCAGCCCCCGCCAGGCCUCCAUUUCAGCAGAGCAACAAAGACCGUACUUCAGAACCAGAGCUCUAGAUCACGGCUCUUGGGACGGCCCCAGGAGUUCUUUACAGAUUAAGGGCAACUCCCAGGGGAUGUGGAUUCUCCGGCACCUCAGGCCUUCCGUGCCAGAGGUCUCUGACAAAUGA
Molecule: long non-coding RNA, 1019 nt
Filed under: Ovis aries (sheep)
Lineage: Eukaryota; Metazoa; Chordata; Mammalia; Artiodactyla; Bovidae
Description: lncRNA (ENSOARG00000026662.1)
Source: RNAcentral